AGAACUCCUUAAGAAAGUCUUCCGGUUUGUAAGUGUAUGUACCAGAACUCUUUCUUAAAGACUUCCGGUUUGAAUGAACUAAACCGGAACUCUUUUAAGAAGUGUUCCGGUAGUCAACCUUAUUUUUUUCCCCACCGGAACUCUUUUAAGAAGUGUUCUGGUGCAUUUUUAUUUUUAUUUUUAUUUUUUUUUAAAAUUAUUUUGUUAUAAUAUUUUUUUAUAGUGGUUCGAAGACGAGAUGCAGAUGGUAGGAUUCCAG
Molecule: long non-coding RNA, 259 nt
Filed under: Lathyrus oleraceus (garden pea)
Lineage: Eukaryota; Viridiplantae; Streptophyta; Magnoliopsida; Fabales; Fabaceae
Description: Pisum sativum (pea) long non-coding RNA (PSAT_LNC027363)
Source: RNAcentral